UAUUGAACAACGCAAAAUAAACAUUCAUGUUCUCGUGGAAACAAAAUUCGUUGAGAGGUUCGCUUCGGCUGAACCCAGGACCAUCGGAUACCGGGAUCGAAAUGGAGAAGGAAGCGAACAAUCUUGGGUGCGAUGCCUCUCUGCCUACUGGCAGGUGAGAGGGAGCGCAAUGAUUGAGCGUACAU
Molecule: small RNA, 185 nt
Rfam family: A. fumigatus sRNA Afu_182
Source: Rfam